This 69-nucleotide transfer RNA is filed under the name Galaxias platei. RNAcentral describes it as "tRNA-Glu". It matches the Rfam family "tRNA". Rfam says of the family: Transfer RNA (tRNA) molecules are approximately 80 nucleotides in length. The record is from RNAcentral. Lineage: Eukaryota; Metazoa; Chordata; Actinopteri; Galaxiiformes; Galaxiidae.
GUUCCUGUAGUUGAGUUACAACGGUGGUUUUUCAAGUCACUGGUCCUGGUUAGAGUCCUGGCGGGAAUU